Passer domesticus (house sparrow) is the source of this 392-nucleotide long non-coding RNA. RefSeq lists it as uncharacterized. Lineage: Eukaryota; Metazoa; Chordata; Aves; Passeriformes; Passeridae. The transcript has 3 exons. The record is from RefSeq and is a predicted model, not a curated record.
UUGUGGUUUUGGGGGCUUGACAUCUGCCAGAGAUUUACACAAACCUUUGCUUUCAUUUCCAGGCCUCCCACUGAGCCAGGCCAAGGAGAUGGAUCAUCACACCGAUCCUGGUCUUACGAGUGACACAGACCUGAGGGAAGGUUUUGGAAAGAUCCGUGCUGCAUUGUGCAUGUUGGCUCAAAAGAACUUAGAGCGGAAGGAUGCAGAGAUUUUGGAGAGAGAGAUGAAGAAAAGGAGGCAAAGGAACACAUCCUUGCAACCCAUUCUGGAGACAGUUGAGCCCGGGGAUGAAGCUGAAGCAAGCUUUAGCCUACCACCUGUUGAUGGCACAGCUUCUAGAGUGCAGAGAAAACACCCUGGUAGUGCCUUGAAGAAGAAGGUCUUGAAGAAGC